UGAUAAGAAUUUGCUACAACCAUGCCUUAAAUAUAAUGGUGAACCUUUUUGGGUAUUCUUCCAAAGCCAGUGGACAGAGUUGUGCAGUAACACAGUAAAGGAGGAUUUACAGAAAGAAAAUGUGAAUUAGAAUCUACCUCUUAUGCUUUCCGCAGUGAUGAUGUAGCUGGUCAUCUUUUGUGCCUUUGGACAUCUUGUUUCAGAAACCAUACCAGGAGCUAAGACAGAGAAAGCCAAAGGUCUGGUUUGCUGAUGGAAGCCAAAGUAAGAUCAAACAUUCCCCAAAGGCUGGUAGAAGCAGGAGGAAUGACACUUGCUAAUUUGAAUUUCAGAAAACACCUAAACCACUUUCUGAUCUUCAGAUUUUGUUUAGGUGCUAAGCAAAUUAAAAGUAAUGCUUACCUGGAUUUUAGAAUAACAUAUGGACUGAAGUGUCUCUUUGUUAUGGGGCCAUCAAACAGACGGUGAAUGAGGUAAGACUGUUUUUAACUGUUUUGCUGCAGAUAACACUGCCCUGUAUGACCGAAAAUAAGGGAAUUCAAAUACUGCAUAAGAGUCUGUUACUUCACAUUUUCAGAACUUUUCUUCAUAGAUGUG
Molecule: long non-coding RNA, 597 nt
Filed under: Struthio camelus australis
Lineage: Eukaryota; Metazoa; Chordata; Aves; Struthioniformes; Struthionidae
Description: lncRNA (ENSSCUG00000017809.1)
Source: RNAcentral